GUGGGGAAUAUUGCGCAAUGGGCGAAAGCCUGACGCAGCGACGCCGCGUGAGGGAUGAAGGUCUUCGGAUCGUAAACCUCUGUCAGAAGGGAAGAAUAAGCACUGUGCUAAUCAGCAGUGCCCUGACGGUACCUUCAAAGGAAGCACCGGCUAACUCCGUGCCAGCAGCCGCGGUAAUACGGAGGGUGCAAGCGUUAAUCGGAAUUACUGGGCGUAAAGCGCGUGUAGGCUGUAUGGCAAGUUGGAGGUGAAAUCCCACGGCUCAACCGUGGAACUGCCUUCAAAACUACCAAACUGGAGUGCGAGAGAGGAUAGCGGAAUUCCAGGUGUAGGAGUGAAAUCCGUAGAUAUCUGGAAGAACAUCAGUGGCGAAGGCGGCUAUCUGGCUCGUAACUGACGCUGAGAUGCGAAAGCGUGGGUAGCAAACAGGAUUAGAAACCCCAGUAGUCC
Molecule: ribosomal RNA, 450 nt
Filed under: uncultured bacterium
Lineage: Bacteria
Description: bacterial SSU rRNA
Rfam family: Bacterial small subunit ribosomal RNA
Source: RNAcentral